This 1346-nucleotide ribosomal RNA is filed under the name uncultured bacterium. RNAcentral describes it as "bacterial SSU rRNA". It matches the Rfam family "Bacterial small subunit ribosomal RNA", at positions 28 to 1381 of the family's 1533-position model. The record is from RNAcentral.
GACGAACGCUGGCGGCGUGCUUAACACAUGCAAGUCGAACGGAAAGGCCCUGCUUUUGUGGGGUGCUCGAGUGGCGAACGGGUGAGUAACACGUGAGUAACCUGCCCUUGACUUUGGGAUAACUUCAGGAAACUGGGGCUAAUACCGGAUAGGAGCUCCUGCUGCAUGGUGGGGGUUGGAAAGUUUCGGCGGUUGGGGAUGGACUCGCGGCUUAUCAGCUUGUUGGUGGGGUAGUGGCUUACCAAGGCUUUGACGGGUAGCCGGCCUGAGAGGGUGGCCGGCCACAUUGGGACUGAGAUACGGCCCAGACUCCUACGGGAGGCAGCAGUGGGGAAUAUUGCACAAUGGGCGGAAGCCUGAUGCAGCAACGCCGCGUGCGGGAUGACGGCCUUCGGGUUGUAAACCGCUUUCGCCUGUGACGAAGCGUGAGUGACGGUAAUGGGUAAAGAAGCACCGGCUAACUACGUGCCAGCAGCCGCGGUGAUACGUAGGGUGCGAGCGUUGUCCGGAUUUAUUGGGCGUAAAGGGCUCGUAGGUGGUUGAUCGCGUCGGAAGUGUAAUCUUGGGGCUUAACCCUGAGCGUGCUUUCGAUACGGGUUGACUUGAGGAAGGUAGGGGAGAAUGGAAUUCCUGGUGGAGCGGUGGAAUGCGCAGAUAUCAGGAGGAACACCAGUGGCGAAGGCGGUUCUCUGGGCCUUUCCUGACGCUGAGGAGCGAAAGCGUGGGGAGCGAACAGGCUUAGAUACCCUGGUAGUCCACGCUGUAAACGGUGGGUACUAGGUGUGGGGUCCAUUCCACGGGUUCCGUGCCGUAGCUAACGCUUUAAGUACCCCGCCUGGGGAGUACGGCCGCAAGGCUAAAACUCAAAGGAAUUGACGGGGCCCCGCACAAGCGGCGGAGCAUGCGGAUUAAUUCGAUGCAACGCGUAGAACCUUACCUGGGUUUGACAUGGAUCGGGAGUGCUCAGAGAUGGGUGUGCCUCUUUUGGGGUCGGUUCACAGGUGGUGCAUGCCUGUCGUCAGCUCGUGUCGUGAGAUGUUGGGUUAAGUCCCGCAACGAGCGCAACCCUUGUUCACUGUUGCCAGCACGUUAUGGUGGGGACUCAGUGGAGACCGCCGGGGUCAACUCGGAGGAAGGUGGGGAUGACGUCAAGUCCUCAUGCCCCUUAUGUCCAGGGCUUCACGCAUGCUACAAUGGCUGGUACAGAGAGUGGCGAGCCUGUGAGGGUGAGCGAAUCUCGGAAAGCCGGUCUCAGUUCGGAUUGGGGUCUGCAACUCGACCUCAUGAAGUCGGAGUCGCUAGUAAUCGCAGAUCAGCAACGCUGCGGUGAAUACGUUCCCGGGGCU